AUACGGAGGGUCCAAGCGUUAUCCGGAUUCAUUGGGUUUAAAGGGUCCGCAGGCGGGAAAAUAAGUCAGUGGUGAAAGCCUACAGCUCAACUGUAGAACUGCCAUUGAUACUGUUUUUCUUGAGUAUAGAUGAAGUGGGCGGAAUAUAUCAUGUAGCGGUGAAAUGCAUAGAUAUGAUAUAGAACACCGAUUGCGAAGGCAGCUCACUAAACUAUUACUGACGCUCAGGGACGAAAGCGUGGGGAGCGAACAGAAUUAGAUACCCCUGUAGUCC
This 274-nucleotide ribosomal RNA is filed under the name uncultured bacterium. RNAcentral's name for it is "partial 16S ribosomal RNA". It matches the Rfam family "Bacterial small subunit ribosomal RNA", at positions 523 to 796 of the family's 1533-position model. The record is from RNAcentral.